Molecule: long non-coding RNA, 773 nt
Organism: Quercus lobata
Lineage: Eukaryota; Viridiplantae; Streptophyta; Magnoliopsida; Fagales; Fagaceae
Exons: 3
Source: RefSeq, a predicted model, not a curated record
CUUUAUUAGACUUUUGCUCUCAUACUCAACUCACUCAGUCACUUAGCUCAAUCACAUACUCACCUUCAUUUUCUUCCAAACCCUAAUCCCGCCAAACAAAUAUUAAAGUUUACCUCUCAAUCUCAGAUUCUCAGGCUCCCACCUAACCAUUUUUCUCUAAUCUUUUGCCCUCAGUUAGUCUCCUUCUCAUCUCCGUUCUCCACCGUGGCUCUGCCACUAUGUAGUUGUCUUUGGGGUAAUUUAAGAGAUUCAGUUUCAGCCUAGUAAAGGACUAAAUCUCAAAGGCUUAAAGAGUUCCUGGUGAGGCAAAUUCUUCUCCCCAUGUCUGGCAUUACAUAUGGAGCUCGCUUCGUCCUCCUCAAUCUUUGCAUCAUCCUCCUCCAACGACGUUCCUGAUCACUCAAUAACAAGGGUCACAAAAAUUUUGAUCUCUAUGUCUGAUGAUCUUGAUGAUAAAACCCUGUUCAAGGCCACUGAAAAAUUAGUAACGGCUGAAUGGAGGGAAGCUUUCAUGGCCUUCACUCCGGAUAGACGACUGGGCUGGAUCAAGUAUCUGACUAGGUCAUCCUAGGGGAGUUUGUUCAGUUGCUUUGUAUGGUUUAGUGGGGGCACAUUGUAUUGUGCUAAGGAACAAUUAUGUUAUUAUAUUUGAAUAUGUAUGUUAAUGACCGUAUUAUUUGGUGGUUUUUUAUGUUUAUUACCUUCUCUUGUUACAAACAGUCUGUGAUACUGACUUAUUAUUGUAUAAAAAAACUUGUGACUUAUCUGCACUA